CAGCCGUAAACUAUGCGCGUUAGGUGUAUCGGUGACCACGAGUCACCGAGGUGCCGAAGGGAAACCGUGAAACGUGCCGCCUGGGAAGUACGGUCGCAAGGCUGAAACUUAAAGGAUUGGCGGGGGAGCACCACAACGGGUGGAGCCUGCGGUUUAAUUGGACUCAACGCCGGGAAGCUCACCGGAUAAGACAGCGGAAUGAUUGCCGGGCUGAAGACUCUGCAUGACUAGCUGAGAGGAGGUGCAUGGCGUAGACGUCU
This 260-nucleotide ribosomal RNA is filed under the name uncultured archaeon. RNAcentral's name for it is "partial 16S ribosomal RNA". It matches the Rfam family "Archaeal small subunit ribosomal RNA", at positions 748 to 1009 of the family's 1478-position model. The record is from RNAcentral.